GUAUAUCUCAUUAAGUAACAAAUAACUCAUUUCCAGAUAUUCCUAUGUCUUCCUUCUAUCCCUGAACAUCUGUAGUCUAACUUUUCUCUUUUUCACCAGAGACUCACCCCAAAAAAUCAAGGGCCUCAUCAGAUGAAAUUUUUGUUUUUAGAUGUGCUAUCAAUUCUCCUUUACUUGAUAUAAAAUUUAAUGAGAUCUUACAUUUUAUUCAUCAAAUGGUUCCAAUAGGCAAAGAAUUCAGACAUAGCAAUUUCAAGGGGUACAACGAUGGCAUGAAUCACUUCAAAAAUAUCAUCUGAUGAAGGUGUUGGUACUUUGGAGCUAUUCUCUAGUGAAGAAGAUAAAUGUGAGACUAUCGAUAUCCAAGGUUAGAGAGGAGGUGAUGGCAUACACUGGAGAAAGGUAGUUAAUCUUGCGCUGGCAAUUCAUUUUUUCGAACUUCGAUUCGAUUUUUUGUUUUUCGUUCAUGUAUUCGAAUAACGAAACAAAUUAGAUUCGAAUUUUUAGUAUAAGCAUGAUUAAUGGAAUAUUUUUCUUCUUAUAAAAUGGGCUAUUAUAAUUAAAAAUGAGUUAUUUUAAGUUUUGUGUACCAAAGUUUUAUUUUACUCUAUAUUAUAAUAGUA
Molecule: long non-coding RNA, 623 nt
Organism: Solanum stenotomum
Lineage: Eukaryota; Viridiplantae; Streptophyta; Magnoliopsida; Solanales; Solanaceae
Exons: 3
Source: RefSeq, a predicted model, not a curated record